AGUGAACGCUGGCGGCAGGCCUAACACAUGCAAGUCGAGCGGCAGCGGGCUGUAGCAAUACAGUGCCGGCGAGCGGCGGACGGGUGAGGAAUACAUCGGAAUCUACCUUGUCGUGGGGGAUAACGUAGGGAAACUUACGCUAAUACCGCAUACGAACUACGGUUGAAAGCGGAGGACCGCAAGGCUUCGCGCGAUUGGAUGAGCCGAUGUCGGAUUAGCUAGUUGGCGGGGUAAUGGCCCACCAAGGCGACGAUCCGUAGCUGGUCUGAGAGGAUGAUCAGCCACACUGGAACUGAGACACGGUCCAGACUCCUACGGGAGGCAGCAGUGGGGAAUAUUGGACAAUGGGCGCAAGCCUGAUCCAGCCAUGCCGCGUGUGGGAAGAAGGCCU
This 391-nucleotide ribosomal RNA is filed under the name uncultured bacterium. Its description in RNAcentral is "bacterial SSU rRNA". It matches the Rfam family "Bacterial small subunit ribosomal RNA", at positions 29 to 417 of the family's 1533-position model. The record is from RNAcentral.